RNAcentral lists this ribosomal RNA (477 nucleotides) under uncultured anaerobic ammonium-oxidizing bacterium. RNAcentral's name for it is "bacterial SSU rRNA". It matches the Rfam family "Bacterial small subunit ribosomal RNA", at positions 365 to 832 of the family's 1533-position model. The record is from RNAcentral.
UUCGCAAUGCCCGAAAGGGUGACGAAGCGACGCCGCGUGCGGGAAGAAGGCCUUCGGGUUGUAAACCGCUGUCGGGAGUUAAGAAAUGCAAGGAUGUUAACAGCGUCCUUGCUUGACUAAGGCUCCGGAGGAAGCCACGGCUAACUCUGUGCCAGCAGCCGCGGUAAUACGGAGGCGGCAAGCGUUGUUCGGAAUUAUUGGGCGUAAAGAGCACGUAGGCGGCCGUGUAAGUCGGUUGUGAAAGCCUUCCGCUCAACGGAAGGACGGCAUCCGAUACUGCAUGGCUCGAGUGCGGGAGGGGAGAGUGGAACUUCUGGUGGAGCGGUGAAAUGCGUAGAUAUCAGAAGGAACACCGGCGGCGAAGGCGACUCUCUGGCCCGUAACUGACGCUGAGUGUGCGAAAGCUAGGGGAGCAAACGGGAUUAGAUACCCCGGUAGUCCUAGCCGUAAACGAUGGGCACUAAGUAGAGGGGUUUU